Molecule: long non-coding RNA, 330 nt
Filed under: Capsicum annuum
Lineage: Eukaryota; Viridiplantae; Streptophyta; Magnoliopsida; Solanales; Solanaceae
Description: long non-coding RNA (CANN_LNC012224)
Source: RNAcentral
GAGAUAGUGAGAAACGAGUAGUUUACAGAGGAUGUGGUGAAGUAUGUUUGAUCGUUUAGUGAAAAAAAUAAUUUGUGUAUUUAAUUGUGUUAUCAAUCGAAGUUGAUGGUUGUUUAAAAUUUUUUUUUUUUUAAUGAAGGAUCAAUAUGGUAGCAGAUUUUAUUUGUUUGGAGGUGGUGUGACGUAAAGCAGCACUGAGAUAGAGGUAAUACUUUUUGUGACUCGAGUUCGUCAAGGAUAGAAUUCACGAAGGACAUUGAAAAGUGAAGGAGUUAUGAUGCAUUUGGCUGCUUUUCAAUAUAGGUUGAGAGGGUUAAUAGGUAUUGGUGU